AAACUGAGCCAAUGCUCCAAAGUACACCUGUCUACCACACUUCCACACAAACGACUGGCACAGCAUAUUCUGUUUAGCUGAAAAGUAGAACAAAAUAUACUCAAAUAGAAAGCAGUUAUUUUAAAGAGUAAGCAUAUUUGACAAUAUUACUGCUUAUUUGGGUCAAAAUAAUGCAGGCUUGGUGAGCAGAAGAAAAUUCAAAAAAAAAAAAAAAAAAAAAAAAAAAUUCAAUUUGUAGUAUCUAUAAUAUAUCAUGUCAUAUUUUUCACACGCAAUAUAAAAGUAUUUAUAUACAUGAAAAUGUAUAGCCUUCCUAUUUUAGAAAGAUUGCUAAUCGCAAACCGAUCUUCAUAUUCGAGAGUCCUUGGCAUCAAAAAGUUUCAAAAUCAAAUCUCCACCAGAUGGUGCUGCUGCUUCAAUAAAGUAGAUCAAUAACUUAACCAUUAGUUUCCCCCUCUUGAAUCAGUUUAGCAUUCACUGGUUUCCUCUUUCGCUGUUAGAGAAACGAUAUGACAUUAGAAUGCGAUGGAAUAUGCAAUACUUCAUAAAGAAAGAAAGCAUUAUCAUGUAUAUUCUCCACAGAUGGGCCCUGUAUUGGGGACUGUGGGAGGGGCUGGAUCAGCUUGUUGGAGAACAGCCCAGUCUCCGCUUCAGUUCCGCUGAGCAGCAGCAGGGUAAACACAAAGUGAGGAGUGACUGAUGUCCAUACUGCGCUCUCAGAGGAGGAGGAAAACAGUAAGGACUUACAUGGUGAGUCACGGCUAAUCCCUGGAACCGCAGAAACAGAGGCAGAGAUUGUGGUGCCUGCAUGAUGUGAGGGUUGUUCUCAGACAGCCUGCUAUUCUUAGGCUGUCUGCAUUCGUCUGAAGUGGUGCAAAGUCUAUUUUUCCCCUUUUUCUUCUAAAAAUGUACAAAGUGAAGUAAUUACAACCUUUCUCAGUCUUCUCUGUGCCGUUUCCUGUUGGUGUGAUGUUUCUCUGUUCUCACUGUUCGCUGUGAUGUUCAAUGCUAUAUAUCUGCGGUCUGGCUUGCAUCCUCGUCCUCUCAGAUUAAGUUAAAUUAUCACAAAAUAAAUAUAAUUUAUUCAUUCAUUAAACUAUGUGUUAAAAACACAACCAGAUAGGUGAAUAGAUUGUGUUCUCAGCACAAUUAUGUUUACAAAUGUUAAUUUAAUGCAAAAAAAAGCAUGUUUAAUUUAAUGUCAAGGCAAGUUGGCACAUUUCUGCAAGUCAUAUUUUAAAUUAUGUUUUUGUAUACAAUGUAUUAAUUGAAAAUUUAUAUUUUUCUUUCAUGCUCUGCUUAUUCAUCAAUUGUUUUGUGUUUGGCAGGUUUCUAUUGAGACAAAAAUGGUCAUCAGGUAAACACAACGUGUAACAACAAACUCUGUAUGUUAAUGUUGUGUUCAAUUAACUGUAUAAUUUUUAUUAAAGGGCAAUAUCAGUUAGCAACAUCUCAAGGUAUGUGUCUAUUUAGGAAUGGAAAAUUAAGUUAAAUUAUAAAAAAGGAUGAAUGAAUAAAUACAUAAACAAACAAACCUGUUAGCCUACUUCUCACCUGUACCCUUAACCAGAGAAUCAGCUGCUACAUAAAAUGUACUAUUAUGGUACAUAGCACUUAGUGAAUAAAAUAAAAAGAUAUGCUAGAUAUGGAAGUAUACAUUUAUUUUCUAAGGGUGAGUAUAGGGGCAUUUGCUGCUGCUGGCUCUGACAUCUGUCUCCCUCUCCACCACUGAAUCACACAGAGCGCUUCCGACUCCCUUCCUGUGGCCGCAGUUAUAAAUGGAACGACUGCAGGCUUGAAGGAUCUGCCCAUGCCUGAGUCUCCUGGAUGUGGCCAUUGACAUUAAUCUGGAAUUUGCUGGAGUGCACCUCUGUUAAUUAGCACAGUCAUUCUGUGAGUUUUAAAGGGUAAUGUUUCACACCCACGGCCCCUGUGCACCACUCCAGCUCGGCCCAAUCUGACAUUUAAACAAUCUGCUUGAUAUUUAGUAAGAGGAUGAAAAGAAAUGGCUACUUUGUGUGUUUGAAAUGGUAAACACAUUUCUCUCAAUCUACAGGCUAGCAGUGCUUCAACUUAUUGGAUGUAUGGUCCAGGGAACAAUAACAAGAGGGAUGGAGAAGUAUUUUAUUAAUUUCUCCAGUUCAUUUGUCGACCCUGUCUAAAAAAAUAAAGAAAUAAAAAAAAACUCCAACCAAGUCCAGUAUCAGUGCCAUUGCCCUACCAUUAUCCCACCACCACAAUCAGUAGCUGGUGAUUACAGUGGAAGUGCAAAUGACUAGAAACAGUGUCAGGGCUCCCAUGUAAUUCUGUGAUGGCCAAAUUCACAAGUUUCUUAUCAUACUACAUGUAAAAUCUCCUCCAGCUAUGAUGUUUUCAUUUUUCAGAAUGUCUAUUUUGAACAAAUAUUUUGUUCAUGCAAUAUAGAAUAAAGAAAAGUGCGUAACAAAUAACAACCCCCCCCCCCCCAACAGGGGCAAAAAUGAAAAUUUUGUCAUUAUAAUUACUCACCCUCAUGUCGUUCCAAAUCCAUAAGAUCUUUGUUCAUCUUCGGAACACAAAUUAAGAUAUUUUUGAUGGUAUCUGCGAGCUGUCUGACCCUCCAUAGACAGCAAUCAUAUUAUUACCACGAUCAACGCACAGAAAUGUAGUAA
Molecule: long non-coding RNA, 2651 nt
Filed under: Carassius auratus (goldfish)
Lineage: Eukaryota; Metazoa; Chordata; Actinopteri; Cypriniformes; Cyprinidae
Description: lncRNA (ENSCARG00000030883.1)
Source: RNAcentral